GACGAACGCUGGCGGCGUGCUUAACACAUGCAAGUCGAACGAACAGACCCUGCUUUUGUUGCGUGCUCGAUUGGCGAACGCGGGAGUAAAACGUGAGUAACCUGCCCUUGACUUAGGGAUAACUUCUGGGAACUGCGGCUCAUACCCGGUAGAAUCUCCUGCAGCAUGGUGUGGGUUGGUAAGAGUCGGCGGUUGGGGAUGGACUCGCGGCUUAUCAGCUUGUUGGUGGGGUUGGGGCUUACCAAGGCUUUGACGGGUAGCCGGCCUGAGAGGGUGACCGGCCACAUUGGGACUGAGAUACGGCCCAGACUGCUACGGGAGGCAGCAGUGGGGAAUAUUGCACAACGGGCGGAAGCCUGAUGCAGCAACGCCGCGUGCGGGAUGACGGCCUUCGGGUGGUAAACCGCUGUGGACUGUGACGAAGCGUGAGUGACGGUAAUGGGUAAAGAAGCACCGGCUAACUACGUG
This 468-nucleotide ribosomal RNA is filed under the name uncultured bacterium. RNAcentral's name for it is "partial 16S ribosomal RNA". It matches the Rfam family "Bacterial small subunit ribosomal RNA", at positions 28 to 507 of the family's 1533-position model. The record is from RNAcentral.